GACGAACGCUGGCGGCGUGCUUAACACAUGCAAGUCGAACGGAAGGGCCCUGCUUUUGUGGGGUGCUCGAUUGGCGAACGGGUGAGUAUCACGUGUGUAACCUGCCCUUGUCUUUCGGAUAUCUUCAGGAAACUGGGGCUCUUAUCGGAUAGGAGCUCUUGCUGCGUGGUGUGGGAUGGUAAGUUUCGGCGGUUGGGGAUGGACUCGCGGCUUAUCCGCUUCUUGGUGGGGUAGUCGCUUACCAAGGUUUUGACGGGUAGCCGGCAUGAGAGAGUGACCGGCGACAUUGGGACUGAGAUACGGCGCAGAAGCCUACGGGACGCAGCAGUGGGGAGUAUGGCGCAGUGGGGGGAAGCCUGAGGCGGCAAUGCCGCGAGCGGGAUAACGGCCUACGGGUGGUAAACCGCUGUCGCAUGUGACGAAGCGAGCGUGACGGUAAUGGAUCAGAAAGCACCGGCUAACUACGUG
Molecule: ribosomal RNA, 468 nt
Filed under: uncultured bacterium
Lineage: Bacteria
Description: partial 16S ribosomal RNA
Rfam family: Bacterial small subunit ribosomal RNA
Source: RNAcentral